This is a long non-coding RNA of Onychostoma macrolepis, 1241 nucleotides long. RefSeq lists it as uncharacterized. Lineage: Eukaryota; Metazoa; Chordata; Actinopteri; Cypriniformes; Cyprinidae. The transcript is spliced from 4 exons. The record is from RefSeq and is a predicted model, not a curated record.
UUUAAAAUAUAUUCAAAUAGAAAACAGUUUUUGAAAUAAGUUGUAAAAAUACUUAAUUUCUAUCUGUGAUAUUUUUACCUUUAUGACCAAAAGAGACUUCUUUAAAAAAAAAUGUAUUCCAAACGUUUGGUCGGUAGUGUAGUGCAGUGCCUCUCUCUCACACACAGAGCCACGGUCAUUUGCUUAGUGGCUUGUAUAUGUGUCAUAUUUAACAUGGGCUUCUGGUGUCAUUAAAAAGCCACAAUGGGUCGCAGAAGUCUGGGUACUAAUGAGACCAGGUGCUGCACACCUGACCCCAAACUGUCUCAGCAGUGAACAAUGAGUGUGUGUGUGUGUGAGAGAGAAAGUACAGAAAAUGAUAAAGAGGAGGAUGACUAUGGCUAUGUUACUAUAUACUUUUUCUGUUUCUGCAGUAUACACUAUGCAUAUAAUACCAGGAUGACCUACUACUACAUCACACUGCACUGAGCACAGUAUCCCAAAGUGCAACAUGCUUGACUUGACCUUCCACUUCCAGAGUGAAGAAUUAAUGCUAAGUAAAUCUCCACCAAUCAGUGAACUGCAACAAGCUAAUUGUGAGAAAAAUAACACAAUGCCCAUCUACUCCCAUGAAAAGACUUUAAACAUGUGCUAGCGGUUCUGGCCAUGGGCCUGUUUCAUCUUAAAGAUGGAUCACGGGGAAAACGCUGUGCACAGGGCUUCUAAAAUCACCAUGGGAAUCCAGGCUCUGGAAUUGAGACAGCAGAUUCUGGCACUGGCCCAGCAGACUCUUCUUCAUGCUUCCCAGAAAUCCUCUCUUUCCUCCCAGAAAUCUCCUCACCCUUCCCAGAAUCCUCUACUGGGGGUGGUGUAGGGAAUGCUUGGGUGCAAUCAUUCAGAUAAUCAAAAAAUUGGUAUGUACGCACAAACACAUGCUUUACAAACAUCUAUUGAACACCAAGUAGACUAGCCAGAAAUAACAACCUGUACAUUCAUCAUAGGAUUUUCACACUAUACUGAAUCACAAUGAUCUUAAUCUAUAGCAACCAUAGACCACAAAAACUCCUCUGUGUUCACUACUACACUUUUCAUUAUUAACCACAGGUUAGAAAAAAGUCACCAAAACCACAUCUACCACAAUACUAGAAGUCUGCCAAACUCUUGAUGGCCUAACAAUACCUUUGACGGGCUGUUUCUUAAUUUCUCCGUGGUGUGUCCUCUCUUUUUCAACAGGAAACAUGUUUUGUCCUGGGUGCCUGGGU